GAAGUCCUACGGGGGGGCAGCAGUAGGGAAUCUUCCACAAUGGACGAAAGUCUGAUGGGGCAACGCCGCGUGAGUGAAGAAGGGUUUCGGCUCGUAAAGCUCUGUUGGUAGUGAAGAAAGAUAGAGGUAGUAACUGGCCUUUAUUUGACGGUAAUUACUUAGAAAGUCACGGCUAACUACGUGCCAGCAGCCGCGGUAAUACGUAGGUGGCAAGCGGUGUCCGGAUUUAUUGGGCGUAAAGCGAGUGCAGGCGGGUC
RNAcentral lists this ribosomal RNA (257 nucleotides) under uncultured bacterium. RNAcentral's name for it is "partial 16S ribosomal RNA". It matches the Rfam family "Bacterial small subunit ribosomal RNA", at positions 333 to 581 of the family's 1533-position model. The record is from RNAcentral.